ACGAACGCUGGCGGCAUGCCUAACACAUGCCAGUCGAACGAGACCUUCGGGUCUAGUGGCGCACGGGUGCGUAACGCAUGGGAACCUGCCCUUAGGUUCGGAAUAACUCCCCGAAAGGGGUGCUAAUACCGGAUAAUGUCUUCGGACCAAAGAUUUAUCGCCUUUGGAUGGGCCCGCGUUGGAUUAGCUAGUUGGUAGGGUAAAAGCCUACCAAGGCGACGAUCCAUAGCUGGUCUGAGAGGAUGAUCAGCCACACUGGGACUGAGACACGGCCCAGACUCCUACGGGAGGCAGCAGUGGGGAAUAUUGGACAAUGGGCGAAAGCCUGAUCCAGCAAUGCCGCGUGAGUGAUGAAGGCCUUAGGGUUGUAAAGCUCUUUUACCCGGGAUGAUAAUGACAGUACCGGGAGAAUAAGCUCCGGCUAACUCCGUG
This 432-nucleotide ribosomal RNA is filed under the name uncultured bacterium. RNAcentral describes it as "partial 16S ribosomal RNA". It matches the Rfam family "Bacterial small subunit ribosomal RNA", at positions 29 to 507 of the family's 1533-position model. The record is from RNAcentral.